GAUCUCAAUUCACGCAAGAGAUCAGCUGGAAGAGUCACGUGUCUGCUUUUCCCCUAACGAGGCAGGAAAAAAACGCUUCCCUCGUGGGCCCUGGCAGCUGGCUCCUGGGGCAGCCGAGCCAGGAGGGAACUCCGGGCACCUGAAGUUACCUACCAGCUUUCCUUUGGACCAACAGCACCCUUCAGGGACAUGCUCAAGAUCCCCGAAUAGUCACCGCCUCCCCUGUGCCAGAAUGAGAUGAACCCAGCUGUUCUUCGGGACCUUUGUGAGUUCCAGCCUUCGGGUUGACAAGACUUGGUCACCUGGACCCCUGAGGUUUCGCCAUCACUACUAGGAGAGCAGCCAUGCGCACGCUCAGGGUUGGUCCCCGCUGAGGUCCAGUCUGGACCACAGGGCAGCUCCGAACCAGCCAACGGUGAACUUGCAGUUUCUCAGCCCAUGUCCCUUGCCCCUGCUGACUUCCACUAUCUCACCAGAGGUCACGCGUCCAGGAGAUCAGAGGCCACCGUCCUGGUUGAUGACACCCCAGAAGCACAAACUCCGUCUCACUGGGAGGCUUUGCACAUCAUCAAAGGGCAAGCAAGUGACCCGCAGAGGCUUGGACGGUUCCCGGAAAAGGGCUUAGCUCAACUGCACGGCAAAGAGAUAGACUUCUGUCUGGGGCCUGGACACAACCCACAGCAGAUGCCUCAGCCCUGCAGGGGUCAGGGCCAGUUUCUGAACACAGGUGGUGACCUCACCUGCUUACACAUCCAGGGUCGAACCUGCCACCUGGUAUCUGGUGAUGGGAGCCUUGGCCAGCAACUCCCUUCCUGUCCUCUGAACGUCCCCAGCUUCCUGACUUCUCCCCUGAGGCCAUGGGAAACCAUUGUCUGCCCCUGUAGGAUUAGGUCCAUCCAGGUGUGGGCACCACAGACAGGCUUCCUAUGUUGGGCUCUGCAACUGGUCAGUAUGACCUGGCGGGGGGUGUGUGUGUGCCGCAGUCCCCCUGUUGUAAUGUGGGCACAAGAAUAAUUAUUUCUCCAAAUGUCUCCAAGAUUAGAAAAUGUGAAACAGGAUCUGAAAGAGCAUCAGCACCAAAGAAAUGGAAGCUAUGAACGAAGACACACACAACCCACACUGCCCCUGGUAUUCACCAAGGCUGCAGAGAGGAGCGGAGGCAAUGCUUGGAGGCGUGUUUAGGAGCACUGACGUGUCCCUCAAGCUACAAGGUGCUGCUCUGUCCCAGUGUAGGAGGCUGUCUGUGUUGUUGUGUUGCUCAAGCUUUGUCAUCACACAGAAGUCGGGGGUGGGGGCGGAGGGAGAGACUUCCAGGAGCUGGGGGCUGGGAGAGGGACGUCCUUUGUGACAGGACCUCCUAUUCUGGCUGUGACGGGUUUUCAUGGCUAACAGAAGUCUGCUCAAGGUAAACAGGAACCUACGGUCCCCUGGGGGCUGCGUGUAUGGAAACCUCGCAUGACUACUCCCACGAGGAAAGUCCUGAGCAUCCUUCUACUUUUUCCUAGGGAAGGGGAGGCAAGGGACUGGCUGAGAGCAUUUGUUCAAAUGUGAAAGCUUUGAUUACAUUACAUGCAUGGAAAGCAAGCUUUCUCUCCCUAAAAUCUUGGAAGCCCCAAGAACAUCAUUUCUGUAUGUCUGUGGGUGUACACACGACUCUGUUGACCCCUAGGCAGCUUCCUUCGCCCUUAUUCAAAACAGUUUUUACCAGGUCUCUCUAACUGCCUGGUUUAACUGGGUUUACAGCAGACAAUCACGGGUGUGUCUGGGGAGAGAAGUCGCUGCCCUUCUAUUCCAACUCUUGGGUUCUUGAUCUGUGGUAUGUCAGGUGACCUCUCCGAGCUUGGAUGCCCUCAUG
Long non-coding RNA from Bos taurus (domestic cattle), 1855 nucleotides. The record is from Ensembl. Lineage: Eukaryota; Metazoa; Chordata; Mammalia; Artiodactyla; Bovidae.